GGUAGAAGAGCGUCGCGUGCACGCCGUGUCGGCUGU
This 36-nucleotide small RNA is filed under the name Propionibacterium australiense. Its description in RNAcentral is "CRISPR_Spacer". The record is from RNAcentral. Lineage: Bacteria; Bacillati; Actinomycetota; Actinomycetes; Propionibacteriales; Propionibacteriaceae.